AAGUCGUAACAAGGUUUCCGUAGGUGAACCUGCGGAAGGAUCAUUAACAUAUCACUAAGAUCUGUUGGCUGCGGGUGGGCGAGGGCUUCUUUGGCUUGCGUUUUGGCUCGGGUGGAGCUUGCUCCAAACACGAUGUGUUGCUCACACCUGCUUGCAGGUGCUGGCCAAACAAAUAUAGCUGCUGGCAACGGAUCUCUAGGCUCCU
RNAcentral lists this unclassified non-coding RNA (205 nucleotides) under fungal sp. RNAcentral describes it as "partial internal transcribed spacer region". The stretch from base 1 to 46 matches the Rfam family "Eukaryotic small subunit ribosomal RNA", at positions 1786 to 1831 of the family's 1831-position model. Lineage: Eukaryota; Fungi. The record is from RNAcentral.